CUAGAGAAAGCCGCAGCAAUACUCACACCUAUCGGUUGUUUCAGCACCGGGCUUGUAGCUCAGUUGGUUAGAGCACACGCUUGAUAAGCGUGGGGUCGGAAGUUCAAGUCUUCCCAGGCCCACCAGAUAAAACUGGCGGGACUUGGUUCGUUAAGGUUUGAGAACCAAGCAAUGCGUUGUCAAUGCUUAAUGGGGGAUUAGCUCAGCUGGGAGAGCACCUGCUUUGCAAGCAGGGGGUCGUCGGUUCGAUCCCGUCAUCCUCCACCAAACAACCCGGGAAGAGCUUGGGUUAAAUGCAGUACCUAUCUAUGUGAAUCGUAAGAAAUGAAGCUCCUGGCUUUAUCUCUUACGCUUUAUGCGUAACGGCUGUUCUUUAAAAAUUUGGAAGAAGGUGAGGCAUUUGUGAUGAGUGCCUCAACAUGGGUUGAUAUUGUAUCUACCGUGCGAUCAGGCGCCGAGCCUGAUUGUACGGAAAGCAAACACACCUGUAAUGCUGGACAUCACUGCGCGCAAGCCAAUUUGGUUUGAGCGUGGUGGUGCUCAAAAUUAUAG
This 552-nucleotide transfer RNA is filed under the name uncultured beta proteobacterium. RNAcentral describes it as "16S-23S ribosomal RNA intergenic spacer". The stretch from base 49 to 122 matches the Rfam family "tRNA". Lineage: Bacteria; Pseudomonadati; Pseudomonadota; Betaproteobacteria. The record is from RNAcentral.